UACGUAGGGUGCGAGCGUUAAUCGGAAUUACUGGGCGUAAAGUGUGCGCAGGCCGCCGAGCAAGUCGAGUGUGAAAGCCCCGAGCUUAACUUGGGAACUGCGCUCGAAACUACUUGGCUAGAGUGUGGCAGAGGGAGGUGGAAUUCCACGUGUAGCGGUGAAAUGCGUAGAGAUGUGGAGGAACACCGAUGGCGAAGGCAGCCUCCUGGGCCAACACUGACGCUGAGGAGCGAAAGCCAGGGGAGCAAACGGG
RNAcentral lists this ribosomal RNA (253 nucleotides) under uncultured prokaryote. RNAcentral describes it as "partial 16S ribosomal RNA". It matches the Rfam family "Bacterial small subunit ribosomal RNA", at positions 524 to 776 of the family's 1533-position model. The record is from RNAcentral.